UGGGGAAUAUUGCACAAUGGGCGCAAGCCUGAUGCAGCAACGCCGCGUGAACGAUGAAGGUCUUCGGAUCGUAAAGUUCUGUUGCAGGGGAAGAUAAUGACGGUACCCUGUGAGGAAGCACCGGCUAACUACGUGCCAGCAGCCGCGGUAAUACGUAGGGUGCAAGCGUUAAUCGGAAUUACUGGGCGUAAAGCGUGCGCAGGCGGUUCUGUAAGACAGAUGUGAAAUCCCCGGGCUCAACCUGGGAAUGGCAUUUGUGACUGCAGGAGUAGAGUUCAUCAGAGGGGGGUGGAAUUCCAAGUGUAGCAGUGAAAUGCGUAGAUAUUUGGAAGAACACCAAUGGCGAAGGCAGCCCCCUGGGAUGCGACUGACGCUCAUGCACGAAAGCGUGGGGAGCAAACAGG
RNAcentral lists this ribosomal RNA (404 nucleotides) under Verrucomicrobiota bacterium. Its description in RNAcentral is "Verrucomicrobia bacterium partial 16S ribosomal RNA". It matches the Rfam family "Bacterial small subunit ribosomal RNA", at positions 355 to 776 of the family's 1533-position model. The record is from RNAcentral. Lineage: Bacteria; Pseudomonadati; Verrucomicrobiota.